Molecule: ribosomal RNA, 481 nt
Filed under: uncultured bacterium
Lineage: Bacteria
Description: bacterial SSU rRNA
Rfam family: Bacterial small subunit ribosomal RNA
Source: RNAcentral
AGAGUUUGAUCCUGGCUCAGAUUGAACGCUGGCGGCAUGCCUUACACAUGCAAGUCGAACGGCAGCGGACCUUCGGGUGCCGGCGAGUGGCGAACGGGUGAGUAAUGUAUCGGAACGUACCUUUCAGUGGGGGAUAACGUAGCGAAAGUUACGCUAAUACCGCAUAUUCUGUGCGCAGGAAAGCAGGGGAUCGCAAGACCUUGCGCUGAUUGAGCGGCCGAUAUCAGAUUAGCUAGUUGGUGAGGUAAAGGCUCACCAAGGCGACGAUCUGUAGCGGGUCUGAGAGGAUGAUCCGCCACACUGGAACUGAGACACGGUCCAGACUCCUACGGGAGGCAGCAGUGGGGAAUUUUGGACAAUGGGGGCAACCCUGAUCCAGCCAUGCCGCGUGAGUGAAGAAGGCCUUCGGGUUGUAAAGCUCUUUCGGCCGGGAAGAAAUCGCAUGGGUUAAUACCCUGUGCGGAUGACGGUACCGGCAUAA